CUGACCCUAAUCAUUGGCCUACAAAUUCCCAAAUAUUCCUCCAAUACCAAAAGGAUGCCAAAAAAUACAUUUCCACCGCCGGGAUCCUAUAUUCCCCUGAGAUCGAAUCUGGGAGCCUUUUCCGAUAAUCUGUCAUAGGGGGAAUCGAUCACGGAGGGCAUCUACAUCAACUCUAUUGCCCCUCCGAUGAUGUAUGAGUAGUUCACCACAGACCUACGGGUCCAUAGCUCAUAUCUAGAUGGCUUCUUCUCUCUCUUUGUUGUUCAAUACCAUGUUCUUCAUGAUCUUCAUGGAGAUCUAUCUGAUGUAAUACUCUUUUGCGGUGUGUUUGUCAAGAUCUGAUGAAUUGUGGGUUUAUGUUCAGAUUAUCUUUGAAUAUUAUUUGAAUCUUC
Molecule: long non-coding RNA, 392 nt
Filed under: Hordeum vulgare
Lineage: Eukaryota; Viridiplantae; Streptophyta; Magnoliopsida; Poales; Poaceae
Description: long non-coding RNA (HVUL_LNC003819)
Source: RNAcentral